This 81-nucleotide transfer RNA is filed under the name Actinoplanes digitatis. Its description in RNAcentral is "tRNA-Cys". The record is from RNAcentral. Lineage: Bacteria; Bacillati; Actinomycetota; Actinomycetes; Micromonosporales; Micromonosporaceae.
CGGCGACCUGGUCGAGUUCUGCGACUUCGCCUACAUCGCGCGGGUGGCCCGGGUGAACGGUGCGGUGCUGUGGUCGCUGGC